UACGAAGGGGGCUAGCGUUGCUCGGAAUCACUGGGCGUAAAGGGUGCGUAGGCGGGUCUUUAAGUCAGGGGUGAAAUCCUGGAGCUCAACUCCAGAACUGCCUUUGAUACUGAAGAUCUUGAGUUCGGGAGAGGUGGGUGGAACUGCGAGUGUAGAGGUGAAAUUCGUAGAUAUUCGCAAGAACACCAGUGGCGAAGGCGGCUCACUGGCCCGAUACUGACGCUGAGGCACGAAAGCGUGGGGAGCGAACCGG
This 253-nucleotide ribosomal RNA is filed under the name uncultured bacterium. RNAcentral's name for it is "partial 16S ribosomal RNA". It matches the Rfam family "Bacterial small subunit ribosomal RNA", at positions 524 to 776 of the family's 1533-position model. The record is from RNAcentral.